AUUUAAAACAAUAAUUUAUUUUAAAUGAUUACAGUGAGACUAUUUUAGUAAUUUUACUAUCUUUAUUAAUCAUUAUCUUUCUUAUCCCACCUACUCCAACCAAUUAUUAUCUUUCUUUAUCAAUCAUUAUCUUCUUAUCCUACCUACUCCAACCAAUCAUUAUCCUUCUUUAUCAAUCAUUAUCUUCUUAUCCCACAUACUCCAACCAAACACUAUUUUUCAUUAUUCUAGACUAACUCCAACCCCCAACCAAACACAAAAAAAUUUUAACCCCACUUUAACCCUGAACUUAACCCUAUUCCUGUAAUAACUACUUUUUUCUUAACCCCGAACCAAACGGAGGCAUAGGGAAUAAAGAAUUGAAUUCAAAAAAAGCUUAUUGUUCUUUUUUUUAGUUAAAAAAAGAAAAUUGUUACGAAUUCAUAGACGUAAAAGAAAAAUCAUGAAUUAAAAGAUUCAUAUGGACGGAUGAAUCCAAACCUAUAAACUAUUAUGUCACAUAUCAUGCCAAAAUAUUUGUCGUCCAAAGUUUUAAUCUAAUUAGAAAAAAAAUACUUUGGAAUUAACACUGUUGGUUAUUUAUUAUUAGACUAAAAUUAUUCAAACUUGCUGUUUCGUAACAAUAUGUUUAGGAGACUAAUAAGUCGAGUUGGAAGAAUCUAAUAAGUUGAGUGAGACUGCGAUCGACAAGAAACCUAACGACAAGAAGUCCAACAAUAGACCUAACGUUCAAACAGAUUGAAUCAGGUUGAAGUCCGUAAAUGCUAUGUCUGAGUCCUUAAGUGCAAUAAAUACGUCAUUUAUAUCAACAGGUGCUUUUGGAAUAGUUGGUUAGCGUUUAAGAUCCAUAAACAUAACUCCUAAUAUAAAUAGAGAUGUAAUAUCAAAG
Molecule: long non-coding RNA, 889 nt
Filed under: Ananas comosus (pineapple)
Lineage: Eukaryota; Viridiplantae; Streptophyta; Magnoliopsida; Poales; Bromeliaceae
Description: long non-coding RNA (ACOM_LNC033865)
Source: RNAcentral